Setaria italica (foxtail millet) is the source of this 3139-nucleotide long non-coding RNA. RefSeq lists it as uncharacterized. The record is from RefSeq and is a predicted model, not a curated record. The transcript is spliced from 3 exons. Lineage: Eukaryota; Viridiplantae; Streptophyta; Magnoliopsida; Poales; Poaceae.
GUCCUCGCUCGGUCACUCCUCGCCCCUUGGUCCGAACACCUAAGACCUGAGGGGCAAUGGGGCCUAUCCCGAUAAAUUAGAAACGGGUUUAAAACAAAUACGGACGUGGUAUCCUCAACCGUAUCCCAUCCUAUUUUCGCAUAGCUAAAAAUACGGGACAAAUACAGAAAAGCGGGCGGGCGGGAACGGUAUUUUGUCCGUCCGUUUUCGUCCCUACAUCGUGCCUUUCUCCCCUUCGUGACGGUCCGCAGUCCCCUCCCGUCCACCGCCGGCGACCUGUACCUGCCGGCAAGCGGCGGCGGGUGGCGCAGGAGGAACCCGUAGUUGCGCCAAGCAAUAUUCGUGGUUGUGCUCGUGCUCCCACUCCUAGCCUCAGUCCCCUCCCUCCGCCUCCAUGCCCCGCGCCCUCCGGUGGCGGCCGGCGGCCGGGAUUGGGUAAGGUUCUCGAGGCUCCGAAAAUGACGCAGUGGCCACAGCGGUGACCGAUCGCGCCUUCGUCAAGCCCUGCAUACCCGACCACCACGCUGUCGUCCUCCUCGGGAGCUGCCUCAAAGUUCAAUGUUGCGGCUGGCGCCGCUGCCGUCUGGGAGCACGCCAUGGAGCUCCUUCAGAAGCUGAGCUUUCAGGUAUGUUUUGAUGGGCGUCAUUGUUGAUCUAUCCCCAAUAAAGGCUAUGCUUAGGACAAUUGACUUCAGGGUGUCUCUGUCAUUAUGAUGCGGUGUAGGCAUGCCGAAGAGUUGUUUUUCUGGGCCGUGCUUCAUGGUUUCUGGUGUUAGCUCACUGUCAAAUGACUAUGACAGAUGCCGAUCUUUUUUUUUUUUUUUUUGAAAGCUAGAUAGAUGCCAAUCUUUGCCGUCCGGUUUCUAUGAUAGAUGCCAAUCUUUGCUGUCCGGUGUAGAAAGCAGUGAAAAAGGCAGUCUAUCCUGUAUAGGAUGAUAGUGGGACAACAGUACCUAGAUAACAAUGAUGACUUGAUGAGUCAUUUUGCUGCAUUUUAACCAGUUGAAGGGUUGAAAAGGAGCAGGGGCAUAGCUUGGAGUGUCAUGGGGGUUCAAGUGAACACCCAAUUUUUUUCCCUAUCAAUCUACUAGUGGUAAUGCCCUGAUCAAAGUUACAGGCUAUUGUAUCACAUUUGCACCCCAGAUAGACCAAAAACGUUCUCAUCUUGUGUUUGAACCGCAAAAAAAAUUCUGGUAACCUCAGUGACGUGUUUGGAGGCGAGGAGAAUAAUACAAGGCUUUACGUCUUAAUUCUAAACCUGAAAGGCUACCUCGUUGGCUGUUUGGAGCUGAGAGACUCUUCUCAGUAACUUAAAAGGGAUUUUGAUAUCCAUGAAUCACUAAAUGAUCGUAGAAUACAGAAUGUAAUUGAGAAAAAGUGAGUGUAUUCCUUUAGCCCCAGAGAUCAUGGUUGCUAAGGAGUUUUUUACUGUGAACGAAUAAAAGAGCCAUUUCUUUGUGCCACAGCUAGAUUGUUAGAUGCCCAACAAGGACCUAUAAUUAAGUUUUACCAAAUCUACUUGAAUUGUUUUCCAUAUUUAUUUUGGUAUCAGCACUUAGGAUCGAUUAUCUAAGUUUCACAUGGAUAUCCUAUGAAAUGUAGCAUAUGAUUGAUCUAAGAUAAAGCGAAAUUAUUUGGAAAAGGGUCUAUAGUAAAUUAAUAUUUUGUUGAAAUAUUUGGUAACUCUGAAGCAUGUGUCAUGAUUUGGAUUUCUUUUUUCCCUUUAGCUUAAACCAUUUUCAGUUCCUAUUUUUUUUGCCCCUAAAAAAGGAAAUUGUUUGAGCAAUGAUAGCUCCUCUUUCAGGUGAUUUAGACAAUUUCAUGUAUCUUGCAGUAUAAGUUGAUUUUGCGUGGCAACUACUUGUCUGAGCAUUGAGCAAGCAGCACUGAUCAUAUAGAAGCACGCUGUGCUUACUCAAGUUAUUAACACUGUAGGUGGUACUUGCAAAAGAAGCCUAAAGUUACCAAAAGUGAAGUGUGCCAUCUCCCUGGGAUCACUGGCUGGAGCAGGUAGCAGAAGAAGAGUAAUGCCUUGGAAAAUAUAGUACAUCUGUCCCACAUAAGAUCCUUGACAGUGUUUGGAAGUGGAAACCAUUAUUGAUUUCUAAGGUGGGGUUGCUUCAAGUUCUGGAUUUAGAAAACACAUAUGGUCUGAAGAUUCUUCUUCCUGGAAACAUGUCAAAGCUCGAACACUGACAAGGCUGCCAUCAACCAUUCCAAAGCUUCCAUGCAGUACCCUCUGAUGAUUUUCAAGCUCUGAUCAAGCAAAAGGAACUCUUUGUGAAGAGAAGAGUUGUAAUUGAAGAUGCUGGUUGCAUUUCUGCCUUAUGGUCACUAUUUGGUUAAGACAGUUGAAUCUUUGUGGUAUUAAAGUGCCAAAAAGAGAUUGGGAGACUGAAGGCCCUGCUGCAUACCCAAUUGCACGAGCUAAGCUCAUGCUGAAGGAGAUCGAGAAGCUUACCCAAUUGUGGCCAGAUGUUAUUUGCAUUAACAGAAGUGCGUGAUUCCGAGGAACUUGAGUUUGCCAUCUUCAACUCAGACAAUACACUCGUUAUCAAUGUGUGCUGAGGUCAAGGAUGGGUUAGAUGGCUGUUUGGAUGGUAUGUCACCUCUGGAGCACAUUGAGAUCCUUCAGCUCUAUAGCUCUAGGGUCUAAGCAAGUUACCCAAAUAGUUUGUGAAGCACUCUAGUGAAUGUGGAGAACUUUGUCAGCAGUCUAGUCAUGUUGACAUAACAAUGCACUGAGUAAGAUGCUGUAGAAAUCAUCAGAAAACUACCAAAUCUGACCUCUAUUUUUCUCUGGACAGGCCAGUUAACUGUGAAGUAUACUCAUUCUCAUAGCAGGAAUUUGGUAAAUCUGCCGGUGCUGGAAAUUGGUGAGCUAUAUAAGGUCAAAUCUUCAAGUUAAGUUUGAAGAAUCGGCAAUGCCUCAGCCUAAACUUCUGACAGUUGGUGUUCUUCGUUUAUGGAAAUUCCACCACUUCUGUCAAGUCUAAACUGAUGGUACUUCCUUGCUAUGGACCGAGCUGCCACUGCCCUCACCGGAGUUGUGCGCUCCAGCCUCUUCAUCCCCCUCCUUGCCCUGCUCAUAGCUGGCCCCAGCGACCUGUGCUGUCUCCUCUGCUUCCUUGGAGUCCCU